Molecule: unclassified non-coding RNA, 294 nt
Filed under: Basidiomycota sp.
Lineage: Eukaryota; Fungi; Basidiomycota
Description: partial contains small subunit ribosomal RNA, internal transcribed spacer 1, and 5.8S ribosomal RNA
Rfam family: Eukaryotic small subunit ribosomal RNA (bases 1-47)
Source: RNAcentral
AAAGUCGUAACAAGGUUUCCGUAGGUGAACCUGCGGAAGGAUCAUUACUCAAUACAUGCUGUAUAAUUCACUUAUACAACAGUAUACACAACAACCAACCGUGCUCUUUCUUUUUUUUCACCCCACAUCUCCUUUAACCUUUCUAUAUCUUCUUUGACUGAUUACUUUCUUGUUGUCCUAGCCUUUACGGCUCUGACACCCAAGAAUCUGCCCAUAUCCUAUGCUAAACCCAUAGGUGUGUGCGUUUAAAUAACCUUUUAAAUACAACUCCUAACAAUGGAUAUCUUGGCUCUC